Non-coding RNA from Podarcis lilfordi (Lilford's wall lizard), 74 nucleotides. NCBI's taxonomy places the organism in Eukaryota, Metazoa, Chordata, Lepidosauria, Squamata, Lacertidae. The record is from the annotation of a GenBank genome assembly.
GGACCAUAGCUCAGCGGGAGAGCAUCUGUUUUCCAAGCUGAAGCAGGUCUUAGGUUCAAUCCUUGGCAUCUCCA